This 91-nucleotide transfer RNA is filed under the name bioreactor metagenome. RNAcentral's name for it is "tRNA-Pyl". The record is from RNAcentral.
CGACUUAUAGAGUGUGGUCGUUUGUGAAUCUCUAAAAUUUGCCCAACUAUCAACAGAUUUUGGGAACAGAGAUCUUUCUCCGUAAGCUGAC